RNAcentral lists this ribosomal RNA (496 nucleotides) under uncultured bacterium. RNAcentral's name for it is "partial 16S ribosomal RNA". It matches the Rfam family "Bacterial small subunit ribosomal RNA", at positions 28 to 506 of the family's 1533-position model. The record is from RNAcentral.
GAUGAACGCUGGCGGCGUGCCUAAUACAUGCAAGUCGAGCGAACAGACGAGGAGCUUGCUCGUCUGACGUUAGGGGCGGACGGGUGAGUAACACGUGGAUAACCUACCUAUAAGACGGGGAUAACUUCGGGAAACCGGAGCUAAUACCGGAUAAUAUAUUGAACCGCAUGGUUCAAUAGUGAAAGACGGUUUUGCUGUCACUUAUAGAUGGAUCCGCGCCGCAUUAGCGAGUUGGGAGGGUAACGGCUUUCCAAGGCAACGCUGCGUAGCCGACCUGAGGGGGGGAACGGCCACUCUGGAACUGAGCCACGGUCUAGGCUCCUACGUGAGGCAGCGGUAGGGACGCUACCGCGAUGUGCGAAAGCCUGAACGAGCAACGCCGCGUGGGUGAUGAAGGUCUUCGUGUCGUAAAACGCUGUUCUUGUUGAAGAACAAAUGUGUAAGUAACUAUGCGCGUCUUGACGUUACCGGAACAGAAGGCCACGCCUAACUCCGU